AAGGAGCUUGCUCCUUUGACGUUAGCGGCGGACGGGUGAGUAACACGUGGAUAACCUACCUAUAAGACUGGGAUAACUUCGGGAAACCGGAGCUAAUACCGGAUAACAUAUUGAACCGCAUGGUUCAAUAGUGAAAGGCGGCUUUGCUGUCACUUAUAGAUGGAUCCGCGCCGUAUUAGCUAGUUGGUAAGGUAACGGCUUACCAAGGCAACGAUACGUAGCCGACCUGAGAGGGUGAUCGGCCACACUGGAACUGAGACACGGUCCAGACUCCUACGGGAGGCAGCAGUAGGGAAUCUUCCGCAAUGGGCGAAAGCCUGACGGAGCAACGCCGCGUGAGUGAUGAAGGUCUUCGGAUCGUAAAACUCUGUUAUCAGGGAAGAACAAAUGUGUAAGUAACUGUGCACAUCUUGACGGUACCUGAUCAGAAAGCCACGGCUAACUACGUGCCAGCAGCCGCGGUAAUACGUAGGUGGCAAGCGUUAUCCGGAAUUAUUGGGCGUAAAGCGCGCGUAGGCGGUUUUUUAAGUCUGAUGUGAAAGCCCACGGCUCAACCGUGG
RNAcentral lists this ribosomal RNA (560 nucleotides) under Staphylococcus warneri. RNAcentral describes it as "bacterial SSU rRNA". It matches the Rfam family "Bacterial small subunit ribosomal RNA", at positions 73 to 618 of the family's 1533-position model. The record is from RNAcentral. Lineage: Bacteria; Bacillati; Bacillota; Bacilli; Caryophanales; Staphylococcaceae.